RNAcentral lists this ribosomal RNA (439 nucleotides) under uncultured bacterium. RNAcentral describes it as "partial 16S ribosomal RNA". It matches the Rfam family "Bacterial small subunit ribosomal RNA", at positions 339 to 795 of the family's 1533-position model. The record is from RNAcentral.
CUACGGGCGGCUGCAGUGAGGAAUUUUGGACAAUGGGCGAAAGCCUGAUCCAGCAAUACCACGUGAGUGAUGAAGGCCUUCGGGUUGUAAAGCUCUUUUAGCAGGGAAGAUAAUGACGGUACCUGCAGAAAAAGCACCGGCUAAUUCCGUGCCAGCAGCCGCGGUAAUACGGAAGGUGCUAGCGUUGUUCGGAUUUAUUGGGCGUAAAGCGUACGUAGGCGGUUUAGUGUGUUAGAUGUGAAAUCCCAGAGCUCAACUUUGGAAUUGCAUUUAAAACUGCUAGGCUUGAGUGUAGUAAGAGAUGGCGGAAUUUCUAGUGUAGGGGUGAAAUCCGUAGAUAUUAGAAGGAACACCAGUGGUGAAGACGGCUAUCUAGGCUAUUACUGACGCUGAGGUACGAAGGUGUGGGGAGCAAACAGGAUUAGAUACCCUUGUAGUC